Gymnodraco acuticeps is the source of this 1033-nucleotide long non-coding RNA. RefSeq lists it as uncharacterized. The record is from RefSeq and is a predicted model, not a curated record. The transcript has 2 exons. NCBI's taxonomy places the organism in Eukaryota, Metazoa, Chordata, Actinopteri, Perciformes, Bathydraconidae.
CAUUGUGAGAUGAGAAAAUGGUGGAAAGGGAGCUACUUAAUGAAGCCAUAGGCCUCUUAACUAAUAUUUUAGAUAGGCCUUCUCCAAAUGUUGUCACAUCGCUGUCAGGAAUGAUGGAUCAAAGACGACAGUCGACGUCGUCCACAGUAGGCAAUUCUAGUGCGAGCGUUGACGAGGAAUUGCAGCGGGCCUUCAGACGCGGAUCAGGUGCAUCAGGGAGUGGCGGUGGAGCCUCAUAGGCGCCAACCUGAACCAAGUGCUGCAACCCCGAUAUCAAACUCAGCAGUAUUUUGGGGGAUGGACUUCAAAGUCAAGGAAGAGAUCAAGAGGGACCACCAAAGUUAGGGUUAGUUGCCUUUGCAACAGGUGCAAGUGUCAUCCCUCCAGUUGGUUUCUCUCCUCAGCCAUCAAUUGAUUUCCUGCAUGAGCAUCCCUCCAGCCCCAAACAGCGUCUGCCCAUGGCGAACACUUGCAUAAACUGCCUCAAGUUGCCGCUGCUUGAGACUUAUGAUGAUUUUAAAGAGUGCAUGGACUUUGCACUAGGUAACACACAGGGUUUUGGAAGAGAGUAAUGGGAACAUUAUGUUCGUUCCAUCUACCUCGUUCAGGAGGUUUCAGCCAGGUUCUUGAAGCAAUGUGAAGAACAAUUUUAUUUUUUUAUUUUAGCGAAGUGCAAAAAAACAUUAUUCUUUAAAAGUCACUUUUAUUAUUUAUCAACCAUUGCUUUAUUAGUGCUGAUUGAGUAACUGGGCACAUAAUUAAGGUAUUAUGGCCCAGUGGUGCAACAAAUCACAUAAAUAUAUAACUGUUACUUUCAGUGUGUUUAAAAAAAAAAAAAAACAGUGCUUGUUUUGUUACUUUAAGUGUGAACCAUUUCCAGUGUUUACAGUUCACUAAGAACAUUCACCAGAACUAAAAAAAAUGAUAUGCCGUGAUUACCAUCAUCACUCAACGGGUCAAAUAGUUCUUCAAUUCUGUUCAUCAUGGUUUCAUUAACAUUAAAGUCAUUUACCUAAUGGUAAGGGGAUGUGUU